Molecule: ribosomal RNA, 1399 nt
Filed under: uncultured bacterium
Lineage: Bacteria
Description: 16S ribosomal RNA
Rfam family: Bacterial small subunit ribosomal RNA
Source: RNAcentral
AGAGUUUGAUCCUGGCUCAGGAUGAACGCUAGCGGCAGGCUUAACACAUGCAAGUCGAGGGGCAGCAUGUCGGAACCUUCGGGUUCUGAUGAUGGCGACCGGCGCAAGGGUGCGUAACGCGUGAGCAACUUGCCCGUUUCAGGGGAAUAACCGUUGGAAACGACGCCUAAUACCCCAUGGUAUUGAGUUUAGGCAUCUUAACUCAAUUAAAGAAAUUCGGAAACGGAUAGGCUCGCGUGACAUUAGAUAGAUGGCGGGGUAACGGCCCACCAUGUCGACGAUGUCUAGGGGUUCUGAGAGGAAGGUCCCCCACACUGGAACUGAGACACGGUCCAGACUCCUACGGGAGGCAGCAGUGAGGAAUAUUGGUCAAUGGUCUGACGACUGAACCAGCCAUGCCGCGUGAAGGCGACGGCCCUAUGGGUCUUAAACUUCUUUUGCGAGGGAGCAAUAAGGUCCACGUGUGGACUGAUGAGAGUACCUCGCGAAUAAGCAUCGGCUAACUCCGUGCCAGCAGCCGCGGUAAUACGGGGGAUGCAAGCGUUAUCCGGAUUUAUUGGGUUUAAAGGGUGCGUAGGCGGCCUGUUAAGUCAGCGGUGAAAUUCAGGGGCUCAACCUCUGCCGUGCCGUUGAAACUGGCAAGCUUGAAUGCGGAUGCCGUGGGAGGAAUGUGUGGUGUAGCGGUGAAAUGCAUAGAUAUCACACAGAACACCGAUUGCGAAGGCAUCUCACGAAUCCGCGAUUGACGCUGAGGCACGAAAGCGUGGGGAUCAAACAGGAUUAGAUACCCUGGUAGUCCACACCGUAAACGAUGAAUACUAGGUGUGGGCAUGCAAGGCAUGUCCGCGCCGCAGCUAACGCAGUAAGUAUUCCACCUGGGGAGUACGUUCGCAAGAAUGAAACUCAAAGGAAUUGACGGGGACCCGCACAAGCGGUGGAGCAUGUGGUUUAAUUCGAUGAUACGCGAGGAACCUUACCCGGGCUUAAAUUGCAUCUGACAGGUCAGGAGACUGACUCUUCUUCGGACAGAUGUGAAGGUGCUGCAUGGUUGUCGUCAGCUCGUGCCGUGAGGUGUCGGCUUAAGUGCCAUAACGAGCGCAACCCUUGCUUCCAGUUGCCAUCAGGUUAUGCUGGGGACUCUGGAAGGACUGCCAUCGUAAGAUGUGAGGAAGGUGGGGAUGACGUCAAAUCAGCACGGCCCUUACGUCCGGGGCUACACACGUGUUACAAUGGGGGGUACAGCAGGCUGCUACCGGGCGACCGGAUGCCAAUCCCUAAAACCCCUCUCAGUUCGGACUGGAGUCUGCAACCCGACUCCACGAAGCUGGAUUCGCUAGUAAUCGCGCAUCAGCCACGGCGCGGUGAAUACGUUCCCGGGCCUUGCACACACCGCCCGUCA